Molecule: ribosomal RNA, 820 nt
Filed under: human gut metagenome
Description: bacterial SSU rRNA
Rfam family: Bacterial small subunit ribosomal RNA
Source: RNAcentral
CUACGUGCCAGCAGCCGCGGUAAUACGUAGGGUGCAAGCGUUAUCCGGAAUUAUUGGGCGUAAAGGGCUCGUAGGCGGUUCGUCGCGUCCGGUGUGAAAGUCCAUCGCUUAACGGUGGAUCUGCGCCGGGUACGGGCGGGCUGGAGUGCGGUAGGGGAGACUGGAAUUCCCGGUGUAACGGUGGAAUGUGUAGAUAUCGGGAAGAACACCAAUGGCGAAGGCAGGUCUCUGGGCCGUUACUGACGCUGAGGAGCGAAAGCGUGGGGAGCGAACAGGAUUAGAUACCCUGGUAGUCCACGCCGUAAACGGUGGAUGCUGGAUGUGGGGCCCGUUCCACGGGUUCCGUGUCGGAGCUAACGCGUUAAGCAUCCCGCCUGGGGAGUACGGCCGCAAGGCUAAAACUCAAAGAAAUUGACGGGGGCCCGCACAAGCGGCGGAGCAUGCGGAUUAAUUCGAUGCAACGCGAAGAACCUUACCUGGGCUUGACAUGUUCCCGACAGCCGUAGAGAUACGGCCUCCCUUCGGGGCGGGUUCACAGGUGGUGCAUGGUCGUCGUCAGCUCGUGUCGUGAGAUGUUGGGUUAAGUCCCGCAACGAGCGCAACCCUCGCCCUGUGUUGCCAGCACGUCAUGGUGGGAACUCACGGGGGACCGCCGGGGUCAACUCGGAGGAAGGUGGGGAUGACGUCAGAUCAUCAUGCCCCUUACGUCCAGGGCUUCACGCAUGCUACAAUGGCCGGUACAACGGGAUGCGACAUGGCGACAUGGAGCGGAUCCCUGAAAACCGGUCUCAGUUCGGAUUGGAGUCUGCAACCCGACUCC